UGUAGGUGAGAGAUUUUGACUUCCCCUUCAAAGUAAACAAAGUGGAGAGACUUGAGACUUCCACGGUGGAACUUUCACCUAAUGGCGCGUGGCCCCCCACUCGCAACCUCUUUCUAUGAUUCGCAAUAUAUAAUAUUAUUGUACACGUUGACAUAUACUCCAUUUUUGCGUGUGUCCCGAUAUUGCUUCUAGAGAAUGGGUCGUCAAUUUUGAGUCUCCGAGUCCAUUUUUAAAAGCGUGUUAUAAU
Molecule: long non-coding RNA, 247 nt
Organism: Arabidopsis thaliana (thale cress)
Lineage: Eukaryota; Viridiplantae; Streptophyta; Magnoliopsida; Brassicales; Brassicaceae
Product: other RNA
Exons: 1
Source: RefSeq